This 573-nucleotide long non-coding RNA is filed under the name Mus musculus (house mouse). Its description in RNAcentral is "predicted gene 15099". The record is from RNAcentral. Lineage: Eukaryota; Metazoa; Chordata; Mammalia; Rodentia; Muridae.
GGCGUCCUCCAAUCACUAUCCUUCCUGCACUGUUGCAGAGGCUCAGUGGCCAGAUUUCAGCCUAUGCCAGGCCACACCACGCCUCCAAUCCCAAGUGAGGGGCGGGGAAAGCAGCUAUCUUCACAUGCCUGCUACUCUGCUCCCGAGGGGCAUUUUCACAGAGUUCCACAGCUGGCCUGGAUAACUUCGAAGAACUUCAUCAUGCCACAAGCUUUCCUACCAGCUACUUAAAUCUAUUCUCUGUUGUAUACUAGGGAAAUCCUGAUCAUUAUUAACGGGUUCUGAAUAAUUCUGUUCACACUAAUCUCAAUGUGUUUUAUUUCUUUUCAUUUUGAUUUUUCAGUACAUCUUUUUGGUUAUUUUCCUCUGAGUUGCCUGUGACUCAAGUGUGUGCCAGAUGUCUUAUCAGUCCAGAAGAGGGCUGGAUUCUCCUGGAAUCGAUGGCUGUGAGCAAUGUGCUGGGAAUCAAUCCCUGUUGUUUGAGGAAAUGUUCUUAACUAUAUGGUGUCAGAGGUGAGAAAAAAAUAUGACUGAAAGAAAGAUGAAAUUUCAAGACCUGUAAGUCAUAGAACG